GCUUACGGUCAUACCAGCCUGGGUACGCCCGAUCUCGUCUGAUCUCGGAAGCUAUGCAUGGUCGGCCCUGGUUAGUACUUGGAUGGGAGACCGCCUGGGAAUACCAGGUGCUGUAAGCA
RNAcentral lists this ribosomal RNA (119 nucleotides) under Salmo salar (Atlantic salmon). The record is from RNAcentral. Lineage: Eukaryota; Metazoa; Chordata; Actinopteri; Salmoniformes; Salmonidae.